Long non-coding RNA from Balaenoptera acutorostrata (minke whale), 2547 nucleotides. RefSeq lists it as uncharacterized. The record is from RefSeq and is a predicted model, not a curated record. The transcript is spliced from 4 exons. NCBI's taxonomy places the organism in Eukaryota, Metazoa, Chordata, Mammalia, Artiodactyla, Balaenopteridae.
CGCGCCCCGCCGCCCGGGCUUCUCCGAGGAGACGCCGACGACAGGGGGCGGGGUGGGGGUGGGGGUGGGGUCGUCUACGCGGGGCCACGCAGGCGCCGCUUUACGGCAGGGGUGGGCGUGGGGCGCCGUCGAGUCCCGCCGGCCCCCGCGCAAGGUUCAGAGCUGACCGGGUUUGUCCCGCCGGAGCGUGGCCUCAGCCAGAGGAGGCAGAGCAGAAGGAAAGGAGGAGGAGGGAAAUCGGGGACGUCGGUCAUCUCCAGGCGCUGGUGUUCUGGGGUUCCUGGAACCAGUCCCCCACGGAUACUGAGGGCUAACUGCAUUGAGACACUAUAUUGAAAGAGCAACAUAAGAUGAACAAGAGAGGAAUACAAAUAGUCAUUGGGAGAACAUACAUGGCUUCAUUCUAAAUGUUGGUGAAGAGAAUAAAGCAUCAAACAAACACUACAAUGACUUUGUUAUUAUUUUUCAGUGCUCCUUUCCCCAAAAUAUAUCCUUACAGAAAGCUUUGGCAGAUAGAUUGUCACAAUUUGCUCCAUUCCUGUGUGACUGGUCAAAGUGCCUAAAACUAAGUGGAUUCUAAGAUUCUCAAAGUGAGUGUUGAAUGUGCUACUUAAAAGAAGAAUCAUUGGAUACAUAAAGGUCUAUUACCCAGAAAGCAUGCAUUUUUUUUUUCACCAAUAAAAAUGAAAGCUUCAUGCAAACAUGUGAGGCUCAAGUUGUUAGAAUCUACUCUAGUGACAGAAAAAGCAAAGGCAUGUCUUCAGAAACCCUUAAGUAACCUCUGUGUUGCUCUGUGAUGCUGGAGUGAUUGAUAGAGGAAAAGUGAUAAUCUCCAUGAAAACACAGUUUUGAAGAAAUAUGAAAGCACUUCAGUUUCCUGUCAGACAGAUGAAAACUAGAGUUUUGACCUUCUGCCUCAAUCCUUCUCCCUUCUACCAAUAGGAAAGAAAUACUAUACUAAAGAUUCAUAGGAUGGAUGUAAAAAGAAAAGGCAUGAAACUUUGGGUAGAACCUAGUAUAAUUGUAGCUAUGCUUUCAUGAAACAAGCAAGACAAUCUAGGUAUUUACAAAGCUGGCAAUUGGGCUUCCCUGGUGGCGCAGUGGUUAGGAAUCCGCCUGCCAAUGCAGGGGACACGGGUUCGAGCCCUGGUUCAGGAAGAGCCCACAUGCUGCAGAGCAGCUAGGCCCGUGCGCCACAACUGCUGAGCCUGCGCUCCGCGACAAGAGAGGCCACCGCAAUGAGAGGCCCGCGCACGGCAAUGAAGAGUAGCCCCCGCUCACCACAACUAAAAAAAGAAAGCCCACGCGCAGCCACAAAGACCCAACGCAGCCAAAAAUAAAUAAAUAAAUUAAUUAAUUAAUUUUAAAAAAAAGCUGGCUAACAAAAAUAAACAAAUGGGACCUAAUGAAACUUCAAAGCUUUUGCACAGCAAAGGAAACCAUAAACAAGACGGACGAAAAGACAACCCUCGGAAUGGGAGAAAAUAUUUGCAAACGAGUCAACAGACAAAGGAUUAAUCUCCAAAAUAUAUAAACAGCUCAUUGAGCUCAAUAUUAAAGAAACAAACACCCCAAUCCAAAAAUGGGCAGAAGACCUAAAUAGACAUUUCUCCAAAGAAGACAUACAGACGGCCACGAAGCAAAUGAAAAAAUGCUCAACAUCACUAAUUAUUACAGAAAUGCAAAUCAAAACUACAAUGAGGUAUCACCUCACUCCUGUUAGAAUGGGCAUCAUCAGAAAAUCUACAAACAACAAAUGCUGGAGAAGGUGUGGAGAAAAGGGAACCCUCUUGCACUGUUGGUGUGAAUGUAAAUUGAUACAGCCACUAUGGAGAACAAUAUGGAGGUUCCUUAAAAAACUAAAAAUAGAAUUACCAUAUGACCCAGCAAUCCCACUACUGGGCAUAUACCCAGAGAAAACCGUAAUUCAAAAAGACACAUGCACCCGAAUGUUCAUUGCAGCACUAUUUCCAAUAGCCAGGUCAUGGAAGCAACCUAAAUGCCCAUCAGCACACGAAUGGAUAAAGAAGUUGUGGUACAUAUAUACAAUGGAAUACUACUCAGCCAUAAAAAGGAACGAAAUUGAGUCAUUUGUUGAGAAGUGGAUGGAUCUAGAGACUGUCAUACAGAGUGAAGUAAGUCAGAAAGAGAAAAACAAAUAUCGUAUAUUAAUGCAUGUAUGUGGAACCUAGAAAAAUGGUACAGAUGAGCCAGUUUGCAGGGCAGAAGUUGAGACACAGAUGUAGAGAAUGGAAAUAUGGACACCAAGGGGGGAAAACUGCGGUGGGGUGGGGAUGGUGGUGUACUGAAUUGGGGGAUUGGGACUGACAUGUAUACACUGAUGUGUAUAAAAGUGAUGCCUAAUAAGAACCUGCAGUAUAAAAAAACAAACAAAACAACUAAUACUAAACUUUCAUUGGGUUAUUUUAUGGAAAUAUGUUAAUAUAAAUGUUUCAGACUUUACAUGAAAUUUCUAAAAAUCUUAUAUUUGUAUUUGUAUGGAAAUAUGUAUGGAAAUAUGUUAAUAUAAAUGUUUCAGACAUUACA